RNAcentral lists this ribosomal RNA (440 nucleotides) under uncultured bacterium. RNAcentral's name for it is "partial 16S ribosomal RNA". It matches the Rfam family "Bacterial small subunit ribosomal RNA", at positions 338 to 795 of the family's 1533-position model. The record is from RNAcentral.
CCUACGGGUGGCAGCAGUGGGGAAUAUUGCACAAUGGGGGAAACCCUGAUGCAGCGACGCCGCGUGAGUGAAGAAGUAAUUCGUUAUGUAAAGCUCUAUCAGCAGGGACGAAAAUGCCGGUAACUGAGUAAGAAGCCCCGGCUAACUACGUGCCAGCAGCCGCGGUAAUAAGUAGGGGGCAAGCGUUAGCCGGAUUUACUGGGUGUAAAGGGAGCGUAGACGGCAGGGCAAGUCUGGAGUGAAAGGCGGGGGCUCAACCCCCGGACUGCGCUGGAAACUGUACGGCUGGAGUGCAGGAGAGGUAAGUGGAAUUCCUAGUGUAGCGGUGAAAUGCGUAGAUAUUAGGAGGAACACCAGUGGCGAAGGCGGCUUACUGGACUGUAACUGACGUUGAGGCUCGAAAGCGUGGGGAGCAAACAGGAUUAGAUACCCCUGUAGUC